CUGAGUUAUCACAACUCCCAACCCAUGUGAACUUACCUUCUGUUGCCUCGGCAGGGCGCACCCCGCGAGGGGCUUGCUGGCCUGCCGGUGGACUACUAAACUCUUGUUUUUUUCGUGGAACUCUGAGUAAGAAAACAUAAUAAUCA
This 146-nucleotide unclassified non-coding RNA is filed under the name Xylaria sp. KU416. Its description in RNAcentral is "ITS1". The record is from RNAcentral. Lineage: Eukaryota; Fungi; Ascomycota; Sordariomycetes; Xylariales; Xylariaceae.